RNAcentral lists this small RNA (592 nucleotides) under Arabidopsis thaliana (thale cress). RNAcentral's name for it is "ATSL271520". The record is from RNAcentral. Lineage: Eukaryota; Viridiplantae; Streptophyta; Magnoliopsida; Brassicales; Brassicaceae.
UUUUGUGAUCAAAAAUGACUUGAUGAGAUCUAUAUGAUUGAGUAGAAGAACUUAAACUACAACUGGAUCUUAAAAGCCUAAGUAGUGUUUCCUUGUUAGAAGAUACAAAGCCAAAGUCUCAUACGAACUUUAGCUACACAAUCAAAGCGUUGAGAAGCAAGAAGAAGCUUGGUUAGUGUUUUAGAGUCAAAUAUUACUAGAUGUCAUGUGUAUGAGUGAGUAUAACAACUAGAACCGCAUCCAGAUUUUAAAAGCAUAAGUAUUGUAUCCUUGUUAGAAGAUACAAAGACAAAGACUCAUACGGACUUCAGCUACACCAUCAAAGCUUUGAGAAGCAGGAUGAAGCUUGGUUAGUGUUUUGGAGUCAAAUAUGACUUGAUGUGAUGUGUAUGAUUGAGUAUAAGAACUUAAACCGCAACCCAAGCUUAAAAGCCUAAGUAGUAUUUCAUUGUUAGAAGAUACAAAGCCAAAGCCUCAUACGGACUUUAGCUACACCAUCAAAGCUUUGAGAAGCCAGAAGAAGCUUGGUUAGUGUUUUGGAGUCAAUAUUAUUAGAUGUCAUGUGUAUGAGUGAGUAUGACAAAUAGAACCC